This 479-nucleotide ribosomal RNA is filed under the name uncultured bacterium. RNAcentral describes it as "bacterial SSU rRNA". It matches the Rfam family "Bacterial small subunit ribosomal RNA", at positions 9 to 478 of the family's 1533-position model. The record is from RNAcentral.
GAGUUUGAUCCUGGCUCAGGAUGAACGCUAGCUACAGGCUUAACACAUGCAAGUCGAGGGGCAGCAUGAACUUAGCUUGCUAAGUUUGAUGGCGACCGGCGCACGGGUGAGUAACACGUAUCCAACCUGCCGAUGACUCGGGGAUAGCCUUUCGAAAGAAAGAUUAAUACCCGAUGGCAUAGUUCUUCCGCAUGGUAGAACUAUUAAAGAACUUCGGUCAUCGAUGGGGAUGCGUUCCAUUAGGUUGUUGGCGGGGUAACGGCCCACCAAGCCUUCGAUGGAUAGGGGUUCUGAGAGGAAGGCCCCCCACAUUGGAACUGAGACACGGUCCAAACUCCUACGGGAGGCAGCAGUGAGGAAUAUUGGUCAAUGGACGAGAGUCUGAACCAGCCAAGUAGCGUGAAGGAUGACUGCCCUAUGGGUUGUAAACUUCUUUUAUACGGGAAUAAAGUGAGGCACGUGUGCCUUUUUGUAUGUAC